CGUGUAGGCGGUUGGUUAAGUCGGGUGUGAAAGCCCGGGGCUCAGCUCCGGAAGUGCGCCCGAAACUGGCCAGCUGGAGCGCGGUAGAGGAGGGUGGAAUUCCUGGUGUAGCGGUGAAAUGCGUAGAUAUCAGGAGGAACACCGGCGGCGAAGGCGGCCCUCUGGACCGUUGCUGACGCUGAGACGCGAAAGCGUGGGAGCAAACA
Molecule: ribosomal RNA, 206 nt
Filed under: uncultured bacterium
Lineage: Bacteria
Description: partial 16S ribosomal RNA
Rfam family: Bacterial small subunit ribosomal RNA
Source: RNAcentral